This is a non-coding RNA of Camellia sinensis, 1390 nucleotides long. The record is from RefSeq and is a predicted model, not a curated record. Lineage: Eukaryota; Viridiplantae; Streptophyta; Magnoliopsida; Ericales; Theaceae.
GAACAGCGGCUAAAGAGAUUACCAAUUCACAUAAUUUCAAAUUUUUUUCUAUGAUUGAUUAUGUUGUCAAUUUUGUGUUUAUAGAAUUAUGAACUCAAAAAUAAAUAAAUAAAUAAAUCCAACACAGCCUUUUUUUCUUAUUUACUCCUCAUUGUCGUGGUGUCUAUGAGUUAAACAGACCGACCAAAUAAUUUUCUAAGUCAACCCUCCAUGUUAUUCAUUUUUUUUUAAAAAAAAAAUUUGGCUACAAAUUAAAGAAGAAUUGCAUCAAGCUUUGAUAUGUAAAAACGCAAACAAUUGGACUUGAGAGGAGAGGAGGAAGAUGGCGCCACCACCCUCCACCGUGGUUUCGCUGGUGGUCACUCUUAUGUUGAGAGUUCUUACGUUCAUUUUCUUGUUAAUUUCGCUGAUCACCUGGCCACCAACAACGCCAUCUUAUCUACCAAUAUCGCCACGAUCAAGAUCAGAUUUAGUGAUAUUUAUGCUUACAAGUAUAUGCUUUUCACUAUUCUGAUCGGACUUGCAUACACUUCGCUGCAAACUCUGUUCACUAUCUACCAAAUGAGCACGGAAAAUCACCUUGGUGGUGAUUGCUUGUCGCACAGUUUUUUUUUUUUUUUUUUUUUUUUUUUUUUUGCUUUUUUGUGUAAAAAACUAUAGAGAAUUGUUUUGAGCAGCUUAUGUCCUACAUUCUAGUGACCGGUGCUGCAGCUGGUUUUGGAGCAACAAUAGAUUUGAAGUCAGUGCUGGAGGGGAAUGGCUCCAGCCUUGACCCCUUUUUCAAUAAGGGUAACGCAGCUGCGAGCCUGCUCCUCCUUGGUUUCUUGUGCACCGCUGUGUUGUCAAUUUUAUCAUCUUUAGCUCUUCCUAAGAGAGGCUAUUAACUACUGCUUCACAGCAAAUAUAAUUAGUAAGUAUCAAUUCCAUGGAAGAUUUUACUUUGAAGGUUUUUUUUUUUUUUUCCCUGGUUUAUGUGAACUUGGUUUAGAGCUUGCUGUGAAUAUCAUAGUAAAUAAUUGGUAUUUGUGUUCAACUACAUGUAACUUAAUUCGAUAACUGCUUUCAAUAUAUAGCAAAAUAAAUUAAUUGAAUCAUCAAAAUAAGUCUCGUGGCAAAGAUACAAGACCCGAACUGCACACCGUCUGUCUGUAGAAAUGCUUCGGACCUGCUCUCCCUUCCAAUUUGAAUAAAAGAUUAAGCAAAAAUGGGACUGAUGAGCGGUAGAAUGAAAUAGAAAGGGUUGUUAUGACAUAUGAGAAACCUACUAACCAGUUUGACUGAUAUGGACUACUAACCAGUUUGACUUCCAUUCCAUAUCAGGUAAUACAUGUGUUGAAAAUCCAAACAAACAAAAAAAGAACAUAAUGAGGAUAAAGAAAAUAAAAGAAAA